UACGUAGGGUGCGAGCGUUAAUCGGAAUUACUGGGCGUAAAGCGUGCGCAGGCGGUUUUGUAAGUCAGAUGUGAAAUCCCCGGGCUUAACCUGGGAAUGGCAUUUGGGACUGCAAGGCUUGAGUGCGGCAGAGGAGACUAGAAUUCCUGGUGUAGCAGUGAAAUGCGUAGAUAUCAGGAGGAAUACCGAUGGCGAAGGCAGGUCUCUGGGCUGACACUGACGCUCAUGCACGAAAGCGUGGGGAGCGAACAGG
Molecule: ribosomal RNA, 253 nt
Filed under: uncultured bacterium
Lineage: Bacteria
Description: partial 16S ribosomal RNA
Rfam family: Bacterial small subunit ribosomal RNA
Source: RNAcentral